AGAGCGAACGCUGGCGGCAGGCCUAACACAUGCAAGUCGAACGGACCCUUCGGGGUUAGUGGCGGACGGGUGAGUAACACGUGGGAACGUGCCUUUAGGUUCGGAAUAGCUCCUGGAAACGGGUGGUAAUGCCGAAUGUGCCCUUCGGGGGGAAAGAUUUAUCGCCUUUAGAGCGGCCCGCGUCUGAUUAGCUUGUUGGUGAGGUAAUGGCUCACCAAGGCUACGAUCAGUAGCUGGUCUGAGAGGAUGACCAGCCACAUUGGGACUGAGACACGGCCCAAACUCCUACGGGAGGCAGCAGUGGGGAAUCUUGCGCAAUGGGCGAAAGCCUGACGCAGCCAUGCCGCGUGUAGUGAGUGAAGGUCUAGGGAUUAGUAAAUACUUUCGACCGGUGAAGAUAAUGACUGUAGCCGGAGAACGACGACCCGGCUAACUUCCGACGCCGAGCCAGCCCGAC
RNAcentral lists this ribosomal RNA (457 nucleotides) under uncultured soil bacterium. RNAcentral's name for it is "bacterial SSU rRNA". It matches the Rfam family "Bacterial small subunit ribosomal RNA", at positions 26 to 524 of the family's 1533-position model. The record is from RNAcentral.